Molecule: ribosomal RNA, 733 nt
Filed under: Lophotrichus fimeti
Lineage: Eukaryota; Fungi; Ascomycota; Sordariomycetes; Microascales; Microascaceae
Description: SSU rRNA
Rfam family: Eukaryotic small subunit ribosomal RNA
Source: RNAcentral
GGGUCUUGUAAUCGGAAUGAGUACAAUUUAAAUCCCUUAACGAGGAACAAUUGGAGGGCAAGUCUGGUGCCAGCAGCCGCGGUAAUUCCAGCUCCAAUAGCGUAUAUUAAAGUUGUUGUGGUUAAAAAGCUCGUAGUUGAACCUUGGGCCUGGCUGGCCGGUCCCCCUCACCGGGUGCACUGAUCCAGCCGGGCCUUUCCCUCUGUGGAACCUCAUGGCCUUCACUGGCUGUGCUGGGGAAACAGGACUUUUACUUUGAAAAAAUUAGAGUGCUCCAGGCAGGCCUAUGCUCGAAUACAUUAGCAUGGAAUAAUAGAAUAGGACGUGUGGUUCUAUUUUGUUGGUUUCUAGGACCGCCGUAAUGAUUAAUAGGGACAGUCGGGGGCAUCAGUAUUCAAUUGUCAGAGGUGAAAUUCUUGGAUCUAUUGAAGACUAACUACUGCGAAAGCAUUUGCCAAGGAUGUUUUCAUUGAUAAGGAACGAAAGUUAGGGGAUCGAAGACGAUCAGAUACCGUCGUAGUCUUAACUAUAAACUAUGCCGACUAGGGAUCGGACGAUGUUAUCUUUUGACGCGUUCGGCACCUUUCGAGAAAUCAAAGUGCUUGGGCUCCAGGGGGAGUAUGGUCGCAAGGCUGAAACUUAAAGAAAUUGACGGAAGGGCACCACCAGGGGUGGAACCUGCGGCUUAAUUUGACUCAACACGGGGAAACUCACCAGGUCCAGACACAGUGAA